AACGCACCUUGCGCUCCUUGGUAUUCCGAGGAGCAUGCCUGUUUGAGUGUCAUGAAAUUCUCAACUGCCCCAAGCUUUGCGGCUUGCGGGUGAAGUUGGACUUGGAGGUAUGCUGGCGCAUGAAUGGGCUUUGUGCCCUGUCGUGCUUGUCGGCUCCUCUCGAAUGCAUGAGCUUUCCAAUCCUUGGCAAAGUAUCGUCGAUGUGAUAAUUAUCUGCGUCGCCCGAGAAAGCCUAACAGGGGAAAUCUUUGAUCACGUCGGGGCAACCCCCGCGUCUGACAAAUUCGACCUCAAAUCAGGUAGGACUACCCGCUGAACUUAA
Molecule: unclassified non-coding RNA, 322 nt
Filed under: Tomentellopsis sp.
Lineage: Eukaryota; Fungi; Basidiomycota; Agaricomycetes; Thelephorales; Thelephoraceae
Also listed under: 1 other name
Description: partial contains 5.8S ribosomal RNA, internal transcribed spacer 2, and large subunit ribosomal RNA
Rfam family: 5.8S ribosomal RNA (bases 1-52)
Source: RNAcentral